UUGUGUGGCAUUCCUACUGUGAACAGUGUCCACUCCCUUGAUGUCUGUAGUAUCACCCUUCUUGUACAUUCACAUGUAUGUGGUCAAAGAAACAACCAGUGUUUUCUAAAAGGCUUAGAGAACAUACAGAAGAUCCCCCUUCUCUUACAAAAAGCAACUGACAGCCCUCACAGCACUGUUUCACCAAUGAAGAAGAAUGAGUAGAAGGAGGAAACACCAGGAGCUUCUGACUACAUCUUACUGGUGAGAAAUGUGUUGCAAGUGUCCUUACCGCAAAACAGUCUGAGAGGAAAAACUUGGCUGCACAGUCUCUACAGUAGAACAAGGAAGACAAGAGGAGAGUUGGAAAUGUUUGUUGAGUAAGCCAACCUACAACAUCUGCCAGUUUUUCUUUUAGAGAUUUAAUUUCAGACCUCAUUUCAAGAUGGUUUCUCCCUCCGCUCAUUUUCAGUAGCUGCAAAUGUACAAGAAGGAAAUUUGCUGAAAAAUAAACUCAGAUAAAGAAAUGGAUGUUUUUGGUUUUUAUAUAAAAGGAUAAGUGAUUUAGAUG
This 550-nucleotide long non-coding RNA is filed under the name Chinchilla lanigera (long-tailed chinchilla). Its description in RNAcentral is "lncRNA (ENSCLAG00000028375.1)". The record is from RNAcentral. Lineage: Eukaryota; Metazoa; Chordata; Mammalia; Rodentia; Chinchillidae.